UUCAUAGAGUGUAAAGGCAUAAGGGAGCUUGACUGCGAGACCUACAAGUCGAGCAGGGUCGAAAGACGGACUUAGUGAUCCGGUGGUUCCGCAUGGAAGGGCCAUCGCUCAACGGAUAAAAGCUACCCCGGGGAUAACAGGCUUAUCUCCCCCAAGAGUUCACAUCGACGGGGAGGUUUGGCACCUCGAUGUCGGCUCAUCGCAUCCUGGGGCUGUAGUCGGUCCCAAGGGUUGGGCUGUUCGCCCAUUAAAGCGGUACGCGAGCUGGGUUCAGAACGUCGUGAGACAGUUCGGUCCCUAUCCGUCGUGGGCGUAGGAAAUUUGAGAGGAGCUGUCCUUAGUACGAGAGGACCGGGAUGGACAUACCUCUGGUGUACCAGUUGUCGUGCCAACGGCAUAGCUGGGUAGCUAUGUGUGGACGGGAUAAGUGCUGAAAGCAUCUAAGCAUGAAGCCCCCCU
Molecule: ribosomal RNA, 459 nt
Filed under: Staphylococcus aureus
Lineage: Bacteria; Bacillati; Bacillota; Bacilli; Caryophanales; Staphylococcaceae
Description: partial 23S ribosomal RNA
Rfam family: Bacterial large subunit ribosomal RNA
Source: RNAcentral